Molecule: ribosomal RNA, 943 nt
Filed under: Lactiplantibacillus plantarum
Lineage: Bacteria; Bacillati; Bacillota; Bacilli; Lactobacillales; Lactobacillaceae
Description: bacterial SSU rRNA
Rfam family: Bacterial small subunit ribosomal RNA
Source: RNAcentral
GAGGCAGCAGUAGGGAUCUUCCACAAUGGACGAAAGUCUGAUGGAGCAACGCCGCGUGAGUGAAGAAGGGUUUCGGCUCGUAAAACUCUGUUGUUAAAGAAGAACAUAUCUGAGAGUAACUGUUCAGGUAUUGACGGUAUUUAACCAGAAAGCCACGGCUAACUACGUGCCAGCAGCCGCGGUAAUACGUAGGUGGCAAGCGUUGUCCGGAUUUAUUGGGCGUAAAGCGAGCGCAGGCGGUUUUUUAAGUCUGAUGUGAAAGCCUUCGGCUCAACCGAAGAAGUGCAUCGGAAACUGGGAAACUUGAGUGCAGAAGAGGACAGUGGAACUCCAUGUGUAGCGGUGAAAUGCGUAGAUAUAUGGAAGAACACCAGUGGCGAAGGCGGCUGUCUGGUCUGUAACUGACGCUGAGGCUCGAAAGUAUGGGUAGCAAACAGGAUUAGAUACCCUGGUAGUCCAUACCGUAAACGAUGAAUGCUAAGUGUUGGAGGGUUUCCGCCCUUCAGUGCUGCAGCUAACGCAUUAAGCAUUCCGCCUGGGGAGUACGGCCGCAAGGCUGAAACUCAAAGGAAUUGACGGGGGCCCGCACAAGCGGUGGAGCAUGUGGUUUAAUUCGAAGCUACGCGAAGAACCUUACCAGGUCUUGACAUACUAUGCAAAUCUAAGAGAUUAGACGUUCCCUUCGGGGACAUGGAUACAGGUGGUGCAUGGUUGUCGUCAGCUCGUGUCGUGAGAUGUUGGGUUAAGUCCCGCAACGAGCGCAACCCUUAUUAUCAGUUGCCAGCAUUAAGUUGGGCACUCUGGUGAGACUGCCGGUGACAAACCGGGAGGAAGGUGGGGGAUGACGUCAAAUCAUCAUGCCCCUUAUGACCUGGGCUACACACGUGCUACAUGGAUGGUACAACGAGUUGCGAACUCGCGAGAGUAAGCUAAUCUCUUAAGC